CCUGGCUUCGGUUCCUCCAGCAAGGACUGGAGGCAGCCACCUCUGCAGUCAGUGCUGUUGUGCAGGUGCUGGCGAUUGAACCCAGAUCCUCAGGCUCCUGUGAAGCCAUCUUCCAGUCUCUAGGCAACUCCUUUAGCCUGGAGUCCUCAGGAGAAAAGAAGCCAGAAGGAUUCAGCUUUGAGGCACCUAGUCAGGGAACUCCAAGUUCUGCGUAGAUUCUCCACUGUAGAGGGACAGGAGUUGGCAGUGAUAUGGGACUAAGGAUCAAAUUGUUCCAGACCUCCCAGAGUGGGAAGCAACCUGCUUGCCUACCAACAUGAGCCUCAUGGGACCACCCCACACGUUGAUGCAGCCUAUGGAUGAAAGAAAUGUCCCACACCCAUGAGACUAAAGGAAGCUAAGGAAGGCUUCCUGGAGGAGCACGCCAUCAUGAAGCUGGGCUCUUGAAGAGAAGUCUGCCAUACCAAUCAAAGACAUAGAGUAUGACAAGGACCAGAAAUCCCAGAAGCCCUGGGACUAGUCCACUUCUGGAUUCCCUGCACUGCUCCCCAUAAGCCUUUUGGCAUCUGAAAUGGGAGGCUGAUGGGGGAAGUACCCUUGGGCACAGAGCAGUGGCAGAACCCAACUCAGCAAGAGGGCUCCAGGGGCCAUGCAGAAGCACGCCUGGAGCUGUCAGAGCUGCAGCAGCACUUCACCUACACAGUAAGGAACUUCAGCAACCAGAGGUUCCUAAUUAACUGUUUCCUAAGGAAGAGAGCAUGGAGGCUGGGAAGCUGCUCAUUCCAGGAAACACUCACAUUUAAACAUUUUUAAAGCCCAGCAUGGAAAUGCACUCAUACAACCACAGUGCCAGGGCUCAGUGUCCACUUAGUCCGGGCUGAUUGGUGAGGGCUUGGCCAGUGGGAGAUUCUUGCUCAAAAGUAAAUAAAUAAAUAAAGGUUUAGCAUGGUGGCUAAUGCCUUUAAUCUCAGCACUCAGGAAGCAGAGGUGGGUGAAUCUCUGUGAAUUUGAGGCAAGCCUAGUCUACACAAUGAGUUCCAGGCUAACCAGGGCUAUAAAAUGAAACCCUAUCUCAAAAAA
RNAcentral lists this long non-coding RNA (1080 nucleotides) under Cricetulus griseus (Chinese hamster). RNAcentral describes it as "lncRNA (ENSCGRG00015038531.1)". The record is from RNAcentral. Lineage: Eukaryota; Metazoa; Chordata; Mammalia; Rodentia; Cricetidae.